GAUGAACGCUGGCGGCGUGCCUAAUACAUGCAAGUCGAACGGUAACAGGUCUAGCUUGCUAGAUGCUGACGAGUGGCGGACGGGUGAGUAACGCGUGGGAAUCUGCCUUCUAGUGGGGGAUAGCCCGGAGAAAUCCGGAUUAAUACCGCAUACGCCCUACGGGGAAAGCCGGGGAGUCUUCGGACCUGGCGCUAGUAGAUGAGCCGCGUGAGAUUAGCUUGUUGGUGGGGUAAGUGGCCUACCAAGGUAACGAUCUCUAGCUGGUCUGAGAGGACGAUCAGCCACACUGGGACUGAGACACGGCCCAGACUCCUACGGGAGGCAGCAGUGGGGAAUAUUGGACAAUGGGCGAAAGCCUGAUCCAGCAAUGCCGCGUGUGUGAAGAAGGCCUGAGGGUUGUAAAGCACUUUCAAUCGUGAAGAAAAGUUGCAGGCUAAUACCCUGUGACCUUGACGUUAACGAUACAAGAAGCACCGGUCUAACUCCGUG
This 489-nucleotide ribosomal RNA is filed under the name uncultured bacterium. Its description in RNAcentral is "bacterial SSU rRNA". It matches the Rfam family "Bacterial small subunit ribosomal RNA", at positions 28 to 507 of the family's 1533-position model. The record is from RNAcentral.